GUUCUCCUACGGGGGGCAGCAGUGGGGGAUAUUGCACAAUGGGGGGAACCCUGAUGCAGCGACGCCGCGUGGGUGAAGGAGUGCUUCGGCAUGUAAAGCCCUAUCGGCAGGGAAGAAGCAAGACGGUACCUGACUAAGAAGCCACGGCUAACUACGUGCCAGCAGCCGCGGUAAUACGUAGGUGGCAAGCGUUAUCCGGAUUUAUUGGGUGUAAAGGGCGUGUAGGCGGGAAUGCAAGGCAGAUGUGAAAACUAUGGGCUCAACCCAUAGCCUGCAUUUGAAACUGUAUUUCUUGAGUGCUGGAG
Molecule: ribosomal RNA, 305 nt
Filed under: uncultured bacterium
Lineage: Bacteria
Description: bacterial SSU rRNA
Rfam family: Bacterial small subunit ribosomal RNA
Source: RNAcentral